Molecule: ribosomal RNA, 216 nt
Filed under: uncultured Pseudomonas sp.
Lineage: Bacteria; Pseudomonadati; Pseudomonadota; Gammaproteobacteria; Pseudomonadales; Pseudomonadaceae
Description: partial 16S ribosomal RNA
Rfam family: Bacterial small subunit ribosomal RNA
Source: RNAcentral
GGUGGGAUGACGUCAAGUCAUCGACUUGGCCCUUACGGCCGUGGGCUACACACGUGACUACAAUGGUCGGUACAAAGGGUUGCCAAGCCGCGAGGUGGAGCUAAUCCCAAUAAAACCGAUCGUAGUCCGGAUCGCAGUCUGCAACUCGACUGCGUGAAGUCGGAAUCGCUAGUAAUCGUGAAUCAGAAUGUCACGGUGAAUACGUUCCCGGGCCUU